RNAcentral lists this ribosomal RNA (253 nucleotides) under uncultured bacterium. Its description in RNAcentral is "partial 16S ribosomal RNA". It matches the Rfam family "Bacterial small subunit ribosomal RNA", at positions 524 to 776 of the family's 1533-position model. The record is from RNAcentral.
UACGUAGGGGGCUAGCGUUGUCCGGAAUCAUUGGGCGUAAAGCGCGCGUAGGCGGCCAGAUAAGUCCGGUGUGAAAGUCACAGGCUCAACCUGUGAAUGCCGCUGGAAACUGUCUGGCUAGAGUCCGGAAGGGGCGAGUGGAAUUCCUGGUGUAGCGGUGAAAUGCGCAGAUAUCAGGAGGAACACCGGUGGCGAAGGCGGGUCUCUGGGCCGGAACUGACGCUGAGGAGCGAAAGCGUGGGGAGCGAACAGG